RNAcentral lists this ribosomal RNA (466 nucleotides) under uncultured Syntrophomonas sp. RNAcentral describes it as "partial 16S ribosomal RNA". Lineage: Bacteria; Bacillati; Bacillota; Clostridia; Eubacteriales; Syntrophomonadaceae. The record is from RNAcentral.
GACUACUGGGGUAUCUAAUCCUGUUUGCUACCCACGCUUUCGCACCUCAGCGUCAGGGUCAGUCCAGAAAGCCGCCUUCGCCACUGGUAUUCCUCCUGAUUUCUACGCAUUUCACCGCUACACCAGGAAUUCCACUUUCCUCUCCUGCCCUCAAGAUAUCCAGUUUCAGAUGCAACCCCGAGGUUGGGCCCCGGUCUUUCACAUCUGACUUAAUUACCCGCCUACGUGCUCUUUACGCCCAGUAAUUCCGGACAACGCUCGCCCCCUACGUCUUACCGCGGCUGCUGGCACGUAGUUAGCCGGGGCUUGCUGGUAAGGUACCGUCACUUUAUCUGACUAUUGGCCAGAUAAACAUUCGUCCCUUACAACAGAGCUUUACGACCCUAAGGCCUUCAUCGCUCACGCGGCGUCGCUGCGUCAGGGUUUCCCCCAUUGCGCAAUAUUCCCCACUGCAGCCCCCCGUAGG